Molecule: long non-coding RNA, 5440 nt
Organism: Passer domesticus (house sparrow)
Lineage: Eukaryota; Metazoa; Chordata; Aves; Passeriformes; Passeridae
Exons: 3
Source: RefSeq, a predicted model, not a curated record
GGGGUUAUUUUGGGGCAGUUUGGGGUCGGUUUUCAGGCUGAUUUUGGGGUGAUUUGGGGUCACUUUUUGGGCUAUUUUGGGUCAGGUUUUGGGCUGAUUUUGGGGCUAUUUUGGGUCAGAUUUUGGUCUGGUUUUGGGGCUAUUUUUGGGAUAAUUUGGGGCUGAUUUUUGGCUAUUUGGGGUCAGGUUUUGGGCUGGUUUUUGGGCUGAUUUUGGAGCAGUUUGGGGUCAGUUUUUGGGGUGGUUUUGGGCUAUUUUGGGUCAGUUUUCGGGGCUAUUUUUUAGAUAUUUUUUGGAUAAUUUGGGGCGGGUUUUGGGAUAAUUUUGGGCUGGUUUUGGGCUAUUUGGGGUCAGUUUUUUGGGCUGAUUUUGGGCUAUUUUGGGGUCAGUUUUUGGGGUGAUUUUGGGAUAUUUUUGGGCUGGUUUUGGGGCUAUUUUUUAGAUAUUUUUUGGAUAAUUUCGGGCUGGUUUGGGGCUAUUUGGGGUUGGGUUUUGGGUUGAUUUUGGGCUAUUUGGGGUCAAUUCUUGGGCUGGUUUUGGGAUAAUUUUCAGCUGAUUUCGGGCUGAUUUUGGGGCAGUUUGGGGUCGGUUUUUGGGCUGAUUUGGGGUGAUUUUGGGCUGCCUUUGGCCGUUUGGAGCAGUGCAGCGCGCCGUGUCGCUGUUCUCGCUGAGCGACCCCGCCCUGAGCCCGGAGCUGCCCCCCGCCCCUCCCCCACCCCCGCGCGCCGCGCCCCUCCCCCCGCUCAGCCCCUCCCCGGCCCCCCUGGAUCUGCCAGGAAAGGUUUCCCAGCUGGAGGCGAUGCUGAAGCAGCUCCACAGCGACCUGGAGAAGGAGAAGCAGGACAAGGUGUUCCUGCAGGCCGAGGUGGCCAACCUGCGGCAGAACAACCGGCGCCUGCAGCAGGAGUCGAGCUCGGCCGCGCGGCAGCUGCGGCGCUUCGCCCGCAUCUUCUCGGGGGCGGCGGAGCACCACGAGCCCUGAGGAGAUCCAACGGGAUGGAUCCCGUCAGGAACUUCUCCAGAACUUCUGAGCACCAGGAGACCCCACUGGGAUCAACUGGGAUGGAGAAAUCCUCUGGAAUUGUGGUGGAACCCAUCAGGAACUUCUCCAGAGCUUCUGAGCACCACGAGCCCUGAGGAGAUCCAACGGGAUGGAUCCCGUCAGGAACUUCUCCAGAGCUUCUGAGCACCAUGAGCCCUGAGGAGAUCCAACGGGAUGGAUCCCAUCAGGAAGUUCUCCAGAACUUCUGAGCACCACGAACCCUGAGGAGAUCCAACUGGGACUUACUGGGAUCUACUGGGAUGGAGAAAUCCUCUGGAAUUGUGGUGGAUCCCAUCAGGAACUUCUCCAGAACUUCUGAGCACCACGAGCCCUGAGGAGAUCCAACGGGAUGGAUCCCAUCAGGAACUUCUCCAGAACUUCUGAGCACCACGAGCCCUGAGGAGAUCCACUGGGACUUAGUGGGAUCUACUGGGAUGGAUCCCAUCAGGAACUUCUCCAGAGCUUCUGAGCACCACGAGCCCUGAGGAGAUCCAACGGGAUGGAGAAAUCCCCUGGAAUUGUGGUGGAUCCCAUCAGGAACUUCUCCAGAACUUCUGAGCACCAGGAGAUCUGACUUGGACUUACUGGGAUGGAGAAAUCCUCUGGAAUUGUGGUGGGAUGGAUCCCAUCAAGAUGUUCUCAGGAGCUUCUGAGCACCAGGAACCCUCACUGGGAUCUACUGGGAUGGAGAAAUCCUCUGGAACUGGGAUGGAUCCCAUCAGGAACUUCUCCAGAGCUUCUGAGCACCAGGAGACCUGACUGGGACUUACUGGGACAGAGAAAUCUCCUGGAAUUGUGGUGGAUCCCAUCAGGAUCUUCUCAGGAGCUUUGGAGUACCAGGAACCAUGACUGGAACCCACUGGGACAUAGAAAUCCUCUGGAAUUGUGGAACCCAUCAGGAUGUUCUCCAGAACUUCUGAGCACCAGGAACCCUCUCUGGGAUCUACUGGGACUUACUGGGAUGGAGAAAUUUUCUGGAAUUGUGGUGGAUCCCAUCAGGAUCUUCUCGGGAGCUUCUGAGCACCAGGAGCUCAAACUGGGAUCCACUGGGACAGAGAAAUCUCCUGGAAUUGUGGUGGAUCCCAUCAGGAUCUUCUCGGGAGCUGCUGAGCACCACGAACCCUGAGGAGAUCCAACUGGGACUUACUGGGAUCUACUGGGAUGGAGAAGUUCUCUGGAACUGGGAUGGAUCCAUCAGGAUCUUCUCCAGAACUUCUGAGCACCAGGAACCGUGACUGGGAUCUACUGGGACUUACUGGGACAAAGAAAUCCUCUGGAAUUGUGGUGGAUCCCAUCAGGAACUUCUCGGGAGCUGCUGAGCACGAGGAACCACGAGAGGAUCCAACUGGGACUCAAUGGGACGAAGAAAUCCACUGGAACUGGGAUGGAUCCCAUCAGGAUCUUCUCCAGAGCUUCUGAGCACCACGAACCCUGGGGAGAUCCACUGGGAUCUACUGGGACAGAGAAAUCCUCUGGAAUGGUGGUGGAACCCAUCAGGAUCUUCUCAGGAGCUUCUGAGCACCACGAACCGUGAUGGGAUCUACUGGGACUCAAUGGGAUCCAACUGGGACCUACUGGGACUUACUGGGAUAGAGAAAUCCUCUGGAAUUGUGGUGGAUCCCAUCAGGAUGUUCUCCAGAGCUUCUGAGCACCAUGAACUGUGACUGAGAUCUACUGGGACUUACUGGGAUGGAUCCCAUCAGGAUCUUCUCAGGAGCUUUGGAGCACCAGGAGACCCCAUUGGGAUCCACUGGGACCUACUGGGACGGAGAAAUCCUCUGGAACUGGGAUGGAUCCCAUCAGGAACUUCUCCAGAGCUUCUGAGCACCACAAACCCUGAGGAGAUCCACUGGGAUGGAGAAGUCCAUUGGAACUGGGAUGGAUCCCAUCAGGAACUUCUCAGGAGCUUUGGAGCACCAGCAGACUCCACCGGGAUCCAGAAUUUUCUUCCUGGGACGGAAAAAUCAGAUCUGAGACCUCCCCUGCAGAGCCAGAACAUUCCAGAAGGAUCCAGAACCUUCCAGAAGGAUCCAGAACCUUCCAUGGAAUUCCAGAACCUUCCAUACGGGACCAAGACCCUUCCUGAGGAUCCAGAACGUUCCAAGGAUCUCCAGAACCUUCCAGAAGCUUCCACAGGGAACCGAGAUGCUUCCUGUGGGUCCAGAACAUUCCAUGGGGGUCCAAGACCCUCCUGGUGGGAUCCAGAACAUUCCUGAGGGACACAAGAACAUCCCUGUGCUUCCAGAACUUUCCGUGGAAUUCCAGAACCUUCCAUAUGGGACCAAGACCCUUCCUGAGGAUCCAGAACCUUCCAAGGAUCUCCAGAACGUUCUCCAUGGAUCCAAAACAUUCCGUGGAAUUCCAGAACCUUCCACGCGGACCCAGGAAUUCCAAAACUCUUCCAGAACUUUCUGCGCUGAUCCAGAACCUCCCCAGUGGGUCCCGGACUCCUCCUACAGGUCCAGAACUUUCCACGGGGUUCCAGAACCUUCCGUGCAGGACUCGGAACAUUCCAGAAGCUUCCACAGCGAUCCGAGGACCUCCCUAGGGAUCCAGAACUUUCCAGAACAUUCCAGAACUUUUCAUGGAAUUCCAGAACAUUCCGCGGAAUUCCAGAACCUUCCAUGGGAUUCCAGAAAUCCCAGAAUUCCAGAACUUCCCAUGGGAUUCCAGAACUUCCAGAACAUUCUGCGGAAUUUCAGAAUUUCCAGAACGUUCCACAGAAUUCCAGAACUUCCAGGUGCUUCCACGGGGAUCCAGAACAUUCCACAGAAUUCCAGAACUUUCCAUGGGAUUCCAAAAAUCCCAGAACUUUUCAUGGAAUUCCAGAACUUCCCAUGGAAUUCAAAACUUCCGGAACUUCUGGGGGAUCCAAAACUUUCCAGAACUUACCGUGGAAUUCCAGAACUUUCCAGACAUUUCCAGGUGCUUCCAGAGGGAUCCAGAAAUUCCAGAACUUUCCCCGGAAUUCAAAACUUCCAGAACUUUCCGGGGGGAUCCAAAACCUUAUAGAACUUACCAUGGAAUUUCAGAACUUUCCAUGGAAUUCCAGAACUUUCCGGACAUUUCCAGGUGCUUCCAGAGGGAUCCAGAAAUUCCAGAACUUCCCACGGAAUUCCGGAACUUUCCACGGAAUUCCAGAUCCUUCCAGAGGGUCCCAGGCCCCUCCCCCCCCCGGAUGUCCAGGGAAAAGGGGGAGGGGCCUCUCCAAAGGCAAUAAGAGCCCCUCCCCCCUCGUUAGGGGAGGGCUCCAAUCUUUAAUUAAUAAUAAUAAUAAUUAAUGAGGAUGAAUUAAUUAAUAAUAAUUAAGGAGCUUCCAGGCGUGGCAAUCCAGGCACUUUGAUCCCUAAAAAUUCCUAAAAAAUUCCCAAAAAUUUCCUAAAAAUCCUUAAAAAUUCCCAAAAUUCCUUAAAAUUGCUAAAAUUCCCUAAAAAAUUCCUAAAAAUUCCUUAAAAAUUCCUAAAAAUUCCUAAAAAAUGCCCUAAAAAUUCCCUAAAAAAAUUCCUAAAAUUUCCUUAAAAAUUCCUUAAAAAUUCCUAAAAAAUCCCUAAAAAUUUCCUAAAAAAUUCCCUAAAAAAUUCCUAAAAUUUCCCUAAAAAUUUCCUUAAAACUCCCCAAAAAAAUCCCAAAAAUUUCCUAAAAAAUUCCUUAGAAUUUCCUAAAAUUUUCCUUUAAAAAUCCUUAAAAAUUCUUAAAAUUUCCUAAAAAUUUCCUUUAAAAAUUCCUAAAAUUCCCUUAAACAAUCCCUAAAAUUUCCUUAAAAAUUCCUAAAAUUUACUAAAAAUUUCCUAAAAUUCUUUAAAAAUUCCUAAAAUUUCCUUAAAAAUUCCUAAAAAUCCCUUAAAAAUUCCCUAAAAAUUCCUAAAAUUUCCUUUAAAAUUCCCUAAAAAAUUCUUUUAAAAACUCCUAACAUUUCCUAAAAAAAAUCCUUAAAAUUUCCUAAAAAUUUCCUUAAAAAUUCCUAAAAAAUUCCUAAAAUUUUCUAAAAAAAUUGUAAAAUUCCCAAAAAGUUUCCUUAAAAAUUCUAAAAAUUCCUAAAAUUUCCUAAAAAUUCCCUAAAUUAUUUCCUGGAGCGGCUCAGGGUUUGAAACCCCUCCCCCUUCCUUCCCCAAAAUCCCCAAAAAUUCCCCAAAAUUCCCAAAUUCCUGUUUAUAAAACACUAUAUUUGUAUAAAUGGCACCGUUUUUAUCCCAAAUCCCAAAUUUUUUUUUUCCCUUUUUUUUUUGCUGGUUUUGGGAUGAGGGGAAAAUUCCCAAAAUUUCCCCAAAAUGUCCCCAAAAAAUCCCCAAAAUUUGGGAUUUUUCCUCCCCGUUCCCUCCUUUUUUGUCUUAUUUAAUCCCCUCCCCCCUCCCGUUCCCAGAAAAUUUUGUGGGUAGGAAUAAAAAUUCCCAAAAUUUU